This is a non-coding RNA of Nylanderia fulva, 753 nucleotides long. NCBI's taxonomy places the organism in Eukaryota, Metazoa, Arthropoda, Insecta, Hymenoptera, Formicidae. The record is from RefSeq and is a predicted model, not a curated record.
UUGACACAAUCGGUAGCUAUAAAUGCUUUGUCUAUAUAUUCAGAUGCCAAUCGAAAUGAUUGAGUAUAAUUUGGUGAGUCAAGAUUCGCGUGAAUGCGAUUCAAGUAAAAAUAUCUGCAAGAGAAAAAGUUAUCAUGUUCGGAACGUUAAAAAUAUUAUGUAUUUUAUUAAAAGUGUUAAUGCUAACGAGUACGGCCCUCGCGGUAUCUUUAGAGAAUGAAGAUAUUUAUACAGUACCGUAGAAUAUACCAUCUUUCAAGUUCUACACAAUUAAUAAUUACCUGUUACGAGUCCAGAAGUUAUAUAUGCAGGAAUAUUUUAACAACGUGACUGAAAAAAAUGUAGUUGCAACCAGUAAGAUCAAGAGACGCAUGCUACGUCAGUUUCAAGGGAGAAAUCAUUUUCGUUGAAAUUGGUUAGUUGUGCACAAAACACAAAUUUUUCUUCGUACAAUAUGUCAAGAAAUGAAAUAAAUCUCAAUUCUUUCUUGUCAAUUGGACACUCUAACAUUUACGACCUGGGUCUUAUUAUUCCGUUAAAAUUCUAAUUUGCUCUUUUGAAAGCCUUACUAAAGUCUUUGAAAUAUUUGUUUUCGUUAAAAAUCAUUGAAUGAUCAUUGACAAUUACUGUCUCUUCUAUUAUAAAAUAUUCAUUUUUUGUCAGGACUACUAUAAUUAUGUUAUUGCUUUUAAGUCUCAAAAACGUACAUAGAUUAUGAUGUUAUUAUUAUUAUUUGGUUAUUUUAAAAGUCAA